This 119-nucleotide ribosomal RNA is filed under the name Streptomyces afghaniensis 772. Lineage: Bacteria; Bacillati; Actinomycetota; Actinomycetes; Kitasatosporales; Streptomycetaceae. The record is from RNAcentral.
UUCGGUGGUUAUAGCGUAGGGGAAACGCCCGGUUACAUUCCGAACCCGGAAGCUAAGCCUUACAGCGCCGAUGGUACUGCGAGGGGGGACCCUGGUGGGAGAGUAGGACGCCGCCGAAC